Long non-coding RNA from Brachypodium distachyon (stiff brome), 420 nucleotides. RefSeq lists it as uncharacterized. The record is from RefSeq and is a predicted model, not a curated record. NCBI's taxonomy places the organism in Eukaryota, Viridiplantae, Streptophyta, Magnoliopsida, Poales, Poaceae. The transcript is spliced from 3 exons.
GGCUGCCGUCGCCCAAGGAGGAGGAGUCGCGAAAGAUGAGGCGGGGCUUCGAGAUCUGGUGGCGCCGAGCUCGGAUCCGGCGGCAGAGACGCGACGUGGAGCCACACCUCAAGGCGGCGGCGGCGACGAGGAGCAGCGGCCAAGGUGAUGCUCCUGGGUCACAGUGACUCCUAUCUCAAGGACAAGGCAAUGCAGCAGCUCAAGGCGUCGACGACGACGACGAGCAGCAGCUCAAGAUUGAUUUCAUUUUAGAAGCUGAUUGAUUUGCGGCCAAUCGAAGGCAGAGGCAGAGCUCUGCCACAGAUGGGAGAUUGCGGCACCCCCAACGAAGGCAGAGGCAGAUGGGCGAUGGAGAUGCCGGGCGGCGUAGCUCGUCUGCGUGCGAUGGCAGGCAAGAGGCGAUGGCGGCAUGCGAUGGCA